AGCAGCCGCGGCAAUUCCAGCUCCAAUAGCGUAUAUUAAAGUUGUUGCAGUUAAAAAGCUCGUAGUUGAGUUUCGGGGUCAGUAGGUUGGUCAUGCCACUGGUAUGUACUGGUCUCACUGAUUCCUCCUUCCUGAUGAACUGUAAUGCCAUUAAUUUGGUGUUGCAGGGAAUCUGGACUGUUACUUUGAAAAAAUUAGAGUGUUUAAAGCAGGCUAACGCCUGAAUACAUUAGCAUGGAAUAAUGAAAUAGGACGUUCGAUCCUAUUUUGUUGGUUUCUAGGAUUGACGUAAUGAUUAAUAGGGAUAGUUGGGGGCAUUAGUAUUCAAUUGUCAGAGGUGAAAUUCUUGGAUUUAUUGAAGACUAACUACUGCGAAAGCAUUUGCCAAGGAUGUUUUCAUUAAUCAAGAACGAAAGUUAGGGGAUCGAAGACGAUCAGAUACCGUCGUAG
Molecule: ribosomal RNA, 450 nt
Filed under: uncultured Glomeromycotina
Lineage: Eukaryota; Fungi; Glomeromycota
Description: SSU rRNA
Rfam family: Eukaryotic small subunit ribosomal RNA
Source: RNAcentral